This 205-nucleotide ribosomal RNA is filed under the name uncultured bacterium. RNAcentral's name for it is "partial 16S ribosomal RNA". It matches the Rfam family "Bacterial small subunit ribosomal RNA", at positions 1288 to 1500 of the family's 1533-position model. The record is from RNAcentral.
UCAGUUCAGACUGCAGGCUGCAACUCGCCUGCACGAAGUCGGAAUUGCUAGUAAUCGUAGGUCAGCAUACUACGGUGAAUACGUUCCCGGGCCUUGUACACACCGCCCGUCAAGCCAUGGGAGUCGGGAGUGCCUGAAGUUCGUGACCGUAUAGGAGCGACCUAGGGCAAGACUGAUGACUGGGGCUAAGUCGUAACAAGGUACC